Myiozetetes cayanensis is the source of this 1142-nucleotide long non-coding RNA. RefSeq lists it as uncharacterized. The transcript is spliced from 4 exons. Lineage: Eukaryota; Metazoa; Chordata; Aves; Passeriformes; Tyrannidae. The record is from RefSeq and is a predicted model, not a curated record.
UGUCCAGGAAGUAAUUCAGGAUAAUUAUAUUCUCAGCUCAAAAUACAAGAAAUGCUCUCCUCCUUCUAGGUUCUUCACCAUAGUUUGGUGCCACCUGAUUUUGGGCAGGCUUGCUCCCCAGGACAAGCUGUAUCAGUCUUCUGCUAUGAGCUCACUAAGAAACAGUAGCAUAAUUUGAUUGUAAGAAAAGGUAUCUACAAUACUCUAAUGCACUGAAUUUUGGGCUAGAAUUAAAGAACAGAAUAACUUGUAGAUUUCAACUUACCCCUUUCUGAAAAAAGAAUAUGCAGCUUUUCAUUAUGGUUAUAAGUUCAUUGCUGCAGACAGCACAGCAGGUCCUUUGUUUAUGCUCAUGACUGGCUUUACUGAGUUCUCCUUCCUCUGCCUUAUAAGAGAGAAUAAUCCUAGACAGAGUAAUGGUAAGAAUAAGAACUGCUUGGAGUCCUGUGUGAUCCUGUUGGUUCUAGCACCCUUAGGGCUGGGAGUAGCACAAGGAGUGAAGGUGAGCCACAGUGAUGUCAUUAAGGAACGAGUGAGUGUAUGGCAGAGCAGGGAGGUGAAUGAGGUUAAAAAGAGCUGGUUCUGCGUGCCCAGCACCAGAGCUGGUCUGCUGAGGAAUCUGGGGACUAAGCACAAAUGCCUUUGCUACUGUGAUCUGCUUUAAGAGUAGUGAACUAAUUUCAAUCCACCACUGAAGGCAGAUUUUGAGAUAGCCAUUUGUAUUAUAAGUUUCACAGAAGCUGAGAAGAAACAAAAGUUACAGCUGGAAGUAUAAUGGGAAGUCCUGGGAGAGUGUGUUAGCCAAGAGCUGCAAGAUGUUCCCAGGAUGGCAGGAGCAGCCAUGCCAAGGGUUUGCUUAAAUGACUAGUGAGGGGCAGAAAUCUGCCUCUGGUGAAGAAACAUCAGCACAGCUGGAAAGUUACUUAUGUGGGAUCUGCCUUGGCCCAUCAAAGCAAACAAAUCUGGCUGCUGGACAAAGAAAGAGCAAGUUCUGCAGAACCUCAUCCCACCUUCCAAUACAGAAAGCAACAGCUGUGCUGCUCCAUUCCAGAAACAAGCUAAAGCAAAACAGCAUGAACUGUCUCUGGUUUAAAAAGAAGAGUUCCCUCAGUCAGCAGCAAGAAAUCCAGCUUACCUGAAGC